RNAcentral lists this ribosomal RNA (253 nucleotides) under uncultured bacterium. RNAcentral's name for it is "partial 16S ribosomal RNA". It matches the Rfam family "Bacterial small subunit ribosomal RNA", at positions 524 to 776 of the family's 1533-position model. The record is from RNAcentral.
UACAGAGGGGGCAAGCGUUGUCCGGAAUUACUGGGCGUACAGCGCGCGCAGGCGGACCGCCACGUGCCGUGUGACAAGCCACUGCUCAACAGUGGAGGGCCAGGGUACACGAGCGGUCUGGAGGCAGGGAGAGGGAUGUGGAAUGCCCGGUGGAGCGGUGAAAUGCGUAGAGAUCGGGCGGAACACCAGCGGCGAAGGCGGCAUCCUGGACCGGCAUUGACGCUGAUGAGCGAAAGCUAGGGGAGCAAACGGG